Molecule: long non-coding RNA, 407 nt
Filed under: Meleagris gallopavo (turkey)
Lineage: Eukaryota; Metazoa; Chordata; Aves; Galliformes; Phasianidae
Description: lncRNA (ENSMGAG00000022239.1)
Source: RNAcentral
CUCCAGGGCUCCCUGCAGCACUCUCAAAUGAGGUUUGCCACUCUUGGGAGCAACAGACACAUGUCUGUGGCCUCUGCUCACUUGUGUCUAUCCCGAUGCAGGACUCCGACAUGAUGAAUAUGAUUGCGUUUAGAGGCAAAAACAAAUUUACUCGAUGCAGUGAGGAAGGCUGUAUCAUACUGCCAAGAAUUGUAGUUGAGGGCUCGAAGACAUAUGAAGGCACAACUUCCCUCAAGCCCCGAAGAGAGUCGCAGCCAUGGGGCGAAGGUGCCCGUAGAGUGAGCGUGUAUGAUCCGGUGAUGCUGGCUCGGCGCAGGGCAUCGCAAGUCAUGAUGUCACAGAAAAGACGCAAGGAGCUAGAGAAGAAAAAGCAAAGGGUUAAAUUCAGGUGAGCCUCCUGGAGAAGU